CAAAAACACGGACGAUCGCUCCUGUGGAGCAUAAUACAGCCGAAGGCAGUUGUUGCAGUGCAAAAAGGCGCCCUUUCUUUGGUGGUUCCGACAUUAUAUUUUGGCUGAAAUAAUCAGUCGUUUUAUUAUUUUUUAUGUGAAACUGCUGUGUUGAAUUUGAAUGCUGCUUUGUGCUUUGAAAUCUCAGUGUUUAUGUUUAUGUUUUCAGCUGUCACUUUCAAUAAAGGGUAACAAUCACA
Anopheles stephensi (Asian malaria mosquito) is the source of this 239-nucleotide long non-coding RNA. RefSeq lists it as uncharacterized. The record is from RefSeq and is a predicted model, not a curated record. NCBI's taxonomy places the organism in Eukaryota, Metazoa, Arthropoda, Insecta, Diptera, Culicidae. The transcript is spliced from 2 exons.